UACGUAGGGGGCGAGCGUUGUCCGGAUUUAUUGGGCGUAAAGAGCGUGUAGGCGGCUAGGUAGGUCUGCUGUGAAAACUCGAGGCUCAACCUCGAGACGUCGGCGGAAACCAUCUGGCUAGAGUCCGGAAGAGGAGAGUGGAAUUCCUGGUGUAGCGGUGAAAUGCGCAGAUAUCGGGAGGAACACCAAUGGCGAAGGCAGCUUGCUGGGACGGUACUGACGCUGAGACGCGAAAGCGUGGGGAGCGAACAGG
This 253-nucleotide ribosomal RNA is filed under the name uncultured bacterium. RNAcentral's name for it is "partial 16S ribosomal RNA". It matches the Rfam family "Bacterial small subunit ribosomal RNA", at positions 524 to 776 of the family's 1533-position model. The record is from RNAcentral.